GCACCCUCGGGGAAACGAUGGUGGUGUUUGUGUGGUUUAUAUAGGGGGAAUACUGGGGAAAGUUCCUGGCAUUCAGAAUCAGAGUACACUUAAGUUGAAGCUCUGUGUUCAGAUUAUUAAAAUCACCUGCAGAUCGUUCUCGAGAAGUGUCUAAGACGCCACUAAACACAAACACUCACGUCGAAACCUAAUUCAUCCGAAUUAUCCCAUUAUUCACGGAUUUAACUGAACAAAAUGGCUUCCACACUCAUACAGUAAAUUAGCACUUGAUCCAGCACAGACUAUUGUUUUCCAUUCGAUUUUUUUAUAUCGUGUCCUGACACUUUACACGAAUUUAACGAAAGACACGGACAUUAAACUGUGGUCAUGAGAUCGUAACGUGUGUGUGAUGUAGAAGAUUUGAUUCAUCUUUAUUUAAUUCACUAUUUUGAUUUGAAACCUGUGCUUAAGUUUAAGAUCAGAACAGAGCGUGACUGCGACACACCUUUUAGACAAACUCCGCCCCCUCACGUAACGUCUCAGAAGUCUGAAUUCCAAUCUGUGUAGUUUCAGUAUCAAAUCCUCACCAUGUGUUUGUGUGUGUGUUUCAUUUUGAACGCACAUUUAAACAUGAGGGAAUUUUUUAAUGACUAACACAUACGCACAUUUCUGCAGCAAUUACAGUACACACAUCUUUCAAUUUAAAAAAAACCUGCAUAAUUUAUUGACAUUUUAUGAAAACACUGUGUCUGUCUCUGUACAACGUAAAACACAGACUGCAGUAAUGUACACACUGCGUUAUGCCGGAUACACACCCGUGUGUGUUCCUGUUUAAACUAAUUGAGGGGUAUUAUUGUUAUUUCAGUGUCCAUUUUGUCUGUAGUAAACACACACACACACACACACACUCGUUUAAGUGCUUUCUGUUAGGAGUCUGAGUACUGAACACUUCAGCAGACUAUAAUAAAUGUAAAUAUGACCUAGAAUGUAAACAGAUCGUAUAAUUAAAGCAGGAAUAAGGAACAAGGACCAUCUCUAAGAGCACUUUUACACUCCGUCUGAAUAAUCCGGGAUCAAUAACCGUUUGUUUUGAGAUGUUUUCUUGUUCUUCUAGCGUACAUGAAGAGAGCAGUACCGAAGAUACAUGCAAGAUUUCAAGGAUGAAUCAUUGUUGAGAUUACAAGCCUGGGAUGCUCUGACCUCUGACCUCACAUUUGGAAGCUCUUAUUAAAUCAAUGUUCAGGCAUGGAUAUACACCAUGUUCAGGUGUGCAGUGUUUGUGAGGAGUGUGAGAGCUUCAUCCCGUGAACAUAUACUAUGGUAUGUGAAUAAGAAACAACCUCCUCUUACAAUGUGCUGUUCAUUUAUAACACUUCACACAUCAGGGACAGAUGGCGAGCCAGCCAGGAGUGUGAAAAGGUAAGACACAAUUCAAGAACGUUUCAAGCUACUGAAGAACCUCCAUGUGGGCUACAGAUCCACCGAGACUGAGAACAUGACAACAUGGGAGUUCAGAUCCAUAAGAAAAAGCUGCAAAAAAAGUUGCAAAAACUCUCGUCUUCUUCUCGGUAAUGACACAAUGGCACAUGGACAUAGUGACACGGUGACAGUGACAGAAGGAUACAGUUACACAGGGACACAGUCACAUGGUGACAGGGACACUGCGAAACAGGGACACAUGGUGACACAGGGACACGGUCACAUGGUGACACAGGGACAUUGUGAAACAGGGACACGUAGGAACACAGGGGCACAUGUUGACACAGGGACACAUGGUGACACAUGGUGACAGGGACAUUAUGACAUGGAGACAUGGUGAAACAGGGACAAAUGGUGACACAGGGACACAUAGUGACAGGGACAUUAUGAGACAGGGAGACAUGGUGAAACAAGGACACAUGGCGACACAGGGACACAUGGUGACACAGGAACACAUGGUGCAUGUCCUCGGUGUGUGCAAGUGUGUGAAAGUUCCUCCAGGGGGAUUCUGGGAAUUUAAGUGUUUUCAUGCAUGUGGACACCAGCUUGUCAGCGGGUACAGGAAACAGUGCAGGGUUUUAAACCUGCAAAACCAAACACACAGUUAAAUCAUUCACAAGUCUGAUUAUUCUAUCUGAUUAUAUCCUGUGAUGAUAGUCCUACAGUCUGAGUAG
Molecule: long non-coding RNA, 2132 nt
Organism: Ictalurus punctatus (channel catfish)
Lineage: Eukaryota; Metazoa; Chordata; Actinopteri; Siluriformes; Ictaluridae
Source: Ensembl